Long non-coding RNA from Astatotilapia calliptera (eastern happy), 1239 nucleotides. The record is from Ensembl. NCBI's taxonomy places the organism in Eukaryota, Metazoa, Chordata, Actinopteri, Cichliformes, Cichlidae.
UUUCGUUUUAAAAAAUAAUCCCGUCCACACAUAAAGGGAAAAAUGAAGGAAAACGCUGCUAUGAACAUGCCAAAGCAGCAGGUGGCGCUAGAUUCCUAACCGUGCAGAAAUGUUGGCCAAUCAGAAGUCUAGAAGCCUCGGUGGGAAAAAGUAAACAAAGCUGGGGCAUAGAAGCAGAACAGAGUCGUAUGUGUGGACGGACAGUAACUGUGUGUAUAUGUAAGCAUUUAAACACUGCAGAGAGUAGAAUUAACAGUAUUGUAGAAAUUCAUUUCACCGAAACAAUAACGUGGCGCACAGUGUGACGCAUGCACCAGUUUAUUGUAUUUCCAGACUUGCUUUCGGCACAAUUUACAGUGCACGCUACUCUGUUUUUUGUCAGACUUGAAAUAGCCGAAAUACCUUCACACUACGGAACUUCUAUGGCUCUUCCGUUCGACAAUCUCUCCGGCAUUGGAACCAUCAUCUGUUUUCUCUUCGGUCACGCUCGGUUGAUUUUUCUAGUCGGCACACUCAUUUCCUCCAUUACGCGCUGGCUCCAUUACCCGCUGGCUGCUUCCCAAACAAACACACGUGCGGCUUGGCACUUGUGCUGUACGUAACAAGUCACGCGACGUGACGCUGCGGCUGUGAUUGGUUCGGCUCUGCGCUACUUAAUUUGGAUUGGCUGACCUUUUUUUUUUUUUUUUUUUUUUUUUUUUUUUUUUUAAAGAGGACAAGAGCGGCGAGGUCUAUCGCGAUAGCUUAAUUUCUCUAUCGAGUAAAAGUUAUAUCGCGAUACAUAUCGUUAUCCUUCUAUCGCCCAGCUCUACAUGUGUCCAUAUCAAUUUACUCUGGAGGAGUCUGUAAAACUUUGUGAAAGGAGUCUAAUGCGAGUCAAUAGGUCAGAAAAGCUCACUUCUGUUUGGUGACAGUGAGGUGAGCUGUUGAGGAUUUGCUGAAUUUUGCUGUUAGUAAGCACUGUUUUUGUUCCUCUUAGCUGCUGUUAGCCACUGUUUUAGAUGUUGUUAGGCCCUGUUAGCUGCCAUUAGCUGCUGUAAGGCAGCUUUACUGAAACAUUCUUUGAAGCAUGUAUGUGGCCAGUCUAUAGCCACAUACAUAAAAUGUAAUUAGGCAGCGUUGUAGUGAUGUAGAUCUUAUCCACUGUAUUCAAGAUUGUGGGGCAAAACAUGACAGCUUCCACAAAUCUGCUCUUUUGUAUGUUAAAUGGAUUAUUUCUAAGUUUAUCAGAGUUCAUCA